This 1553-nucleotide ribosomal RNA is filed under the name Salmonella enterica subsp. enterica serovar Heidelberg str. 41584. RNAcentral describes it as "bacterial SSU rRNA". It matches the Rfam family "Bacterial small subunit ribosomal RNA". The record is from RNAcentral. Lineage: Bacteria; Pseudomonadati; Pseudomonadota; Gammaproteobacteria; Enterobacterales; Enterobacteriaceae.
AAAUUGAAGAGUUUGAUCAUGGCUCAGAUUGAACGCUGGCGGCAGGCCUAACACAUGCAAGUCGAACGGUAACAGGAAGCAGCUUGCUGCUUUGCUGACGAGUGGCGGACGGGUGAGUAAUGUCUGGGAAACUGCCUGAUGGAGGGGGAUAACUACUGGAAACGGUGGCUAAUACCGCAUAACGUCGCAAGACCAAAGAGGGGGACCUUCGGGCCUCUUGCCAUCAGAUGUGCCCAGAUGGGAUUAGCUUGUUGGUGAGGUAACGGCUCACCAAGGCGACGAUCCCUAGCUGGUCUGAGAGGAUGACCAGCCACACUGGAACUGAGACACGGUCCAGACUCCUACGGGAGGCAGCAGUGGGGAAUAUUGCACAAUGGGCGCAAGCCUGAUGCAGCCAUGCCGCGUGUAUGAAGAAGGCCUUCGGGUUGUAAAGUACUUUCAGCGGGGAGGAAGGUGUUGUGGUUAAUAACCACAGCAAUUGACGUUACCCGCAGAAGAAGCACCGGCUAACUCCGUGCCAGCAGCCGCGGUAAUACGGAGGGUGCAAGCGUUAAUCGGAAUUACUGGGCGUAAAGCGCACGCAGGCGGUCUGUCAAGUCGGAUGUGAAAUCCCCGGGCUCAACCUGGGAACUGCAUUCGAAACUGGCAGGCUUGAGUCUUGUAGAGGGGGGUAGAAUUCCAGGUGUAGCGGUGAAAUGCGUAGAGAUCUGGAGGAAUACCGGUGGCGAAGGCGGCCCCCUGGACAAAGACUGACGCUCAGGUGCGAAAGCGUGGGGAGCAAACAGGAUUAGAUACCCUGGUAGUCCACGCCGUAAACGAUGUCUACUUGGAGGUUGUGCCCUUGAGGCGUGGCUUCCGGAGCUAACGCGUUAAGUAGACCGCCUGGGGAGUACGGCCGCAAGGUUAAAACUCAAAUGAAUUGACGGGGGCCCGCACAAGCGGUGGAGCAUGUGGUUUAAUUCGAUGCAACGCGAAGAACCUUACCUGGUCUUGACAUCCACAGAACGUUUUCAGAGAUGAGAAUGUGCCUUCGGGAACUGUGAGACAGGUGCUGCAUGGCUGUCGUCAGCUCGUGUUGUGAAAUGUUGGGUUAAGUCCCGCAACGAGCGCAACCCUUAUCCUUUGUUGCCAGCGGUUAGGCCGGGAACUCAAAGGAGACUGCCAGUGAUAAACUGGAGGAAGGUGGGGAUGACGUCAAGUCAUCAUGGCCCUUACGACCAGGGCUACACACGUGCUACAAUGGCGCAUACAAAGAGAAGCGACCUCGCGAGAGCAAGCGGACCUCAUAAAGUGCGUCGUAGUCCGGAUUGGAGUCUGCAACUCGACUCCAUGAAGUCGGAAUCGCUAGUAAUCGUGGAUCAGAAUGCCACGGUGAAUACGUUCCCGGGCCUUGUACACACCGCCCGUCACACCAUGGGAGUGGGUUGCAAAAGAAGUAGGUAGCUUAACCUUCGGGAGGGCGCUUACCACUUUGUGAUUCAUGACUGGGGUGAAGUCGUAACAAGGUAACCGUAGGGGAACCUGCGGUUGGAUCACCUCCUUACCUUAAAGAA